This 71-nucleotide transfer RNA is filed under the name Johnius belangerii (Belanger's croaker). RNAcentral describes it as "tRNA-Trp". It matches the Rfam family "tRNA". From Rfam's summary of the family: Transfer RNA (tRNA) molecules are approximately 80 nucleotides in length. Lineage: Eukaryota; Metazoa; Chordata; Actinopteri; Sciaenidae. The record is from RNAcentral.
AGAAGUUUAGGUUAACAUAAGACCAAGGGCCUUCAAAGCCCUUAGUGGGGGUGGGAAUCCCUCAGCUUCUG